GAAAUCCUCUGCGACUGCGUUUCUAGGGUUUUUUUUGUGUGUAAGCUUUCUCUGCGCUGCUCUAAAUCUUCAAACCUGCACAGCAAAUCGUCUAGUCAUGGGUCAUUCCAACGUCUGGAAUUCACACCCCAAGACCUAUGGGCCUGGUUCUCGUGCCUGCCGUGUGUGUGGAAAUCCCCAUGGGUUGAUCAGGAAGUAUGGGCUUAUGUGUUGCAGACAGUGCUUCCGUAGCAAUGCCAAGGAAAUUGGCUUCAUCAAGUAUCGCUGAAGGAUAAACACCUUUUGGACUAAAGGAGAGGACAAGAAUGAUUCAAGUAGUGGCUUUCUGUUUGAUGAAUUUUAAGUUAUUGUUUAUUUAGUUGAUGUGUUGUUGAACUUGGAUUUAUGGUAGACAACGGGUAUUUUGGAGUGCUGUGAGAAUAUUGUUGGAAAUUCUCAUUUAUGGAUGAUUACCUUUCUUAUUCCAUUUUCCCCCCCAUUUGAUAUCUUUACCAACAGCUGCAGAACAGUAAAAGGCAAAUGCUGUUCACUAGUCAUGAACUUUAAUGAUCUUGUUGAGCUUUCAAAUUUUUGCUUGAUUUUCCACUACUUGCCAUGGAUAACCACCACUAUCUCAUCAAGUAGUAUGCGACAUUUACAUAAGUUACAACUACCACAGAGUUUUGAAGUUGCAACUUUACAUACUGAUUAGUGGUUAUUUGCAAAUGUGCACACUGUAUUAAAACGAUUUGUUGGUGCAGUCAUCCAUACUUUCAAAUGUAAGCAGUGAUCCCUUUUGCUCAAGUUUCCUUCUUCUAUAUUUUUUCUUAUUGAAAACUGAUCAGAUGUCCUCCUUUCAUUCAUAGUGGUUGGUACACUAUGGUCCAUAGUUAAUUUAAUUUAGUGUUGUAUUCUACCAAGUGGUCAUCUUUGGUGUAAAGCUGUCUGAUUCAAAGUGAUGAACCAAAAUUUACGUAGAUUAUUGCUGUUUUUGUUUUCUGCGAGUGGAUGAUCACAAUCACCUACGCAGAUACAGUAACAUGCUCUCUUAUUAUCA
Molecule: unclassified non-coding RNA, 1036 nt
Filed under: Hevea brasiliensis (rubber tree)
Lineage: Eukaryota; Viridiplantae; Streptophyta; Magnoliopsida; Malpighiales; Euphorbiaceae
Source: RNAcentral